AGUGGCGGACGGGUGAGUAACGCGUGGGCAACCUGCCCCAUAGAGGGGGACAACAGCUGGAAACGGCUGCUAAUACCGCAUAACAAGGAGAGAGCGCAUGUUCUUUUCUUCAAAGAUUUAUCGCUAUGGGAUGGACCCGCGUCUGAUUAGCUAGUUGGUGGGGUAGAAGCCUACCAAGGCGACGAUCAGUAGCCGGACUGAGAGGUUGAACGGCCACAUUGGGACUGAGAUACGGCCCAGACUCCUACGGGAGGCAGCAGUCGGGAAUAUUGCGCAAUGGAGGGAACUCUGACGCAGUGACGCCGCGUAUAGGAAGAAGGUUUUCGGAUUGUAAACUAUUGUCGUUAGGGAAGAAAAAAGACAGUACCUAAGGAGGAAGCCCCGGCUAACUAUGUGCCAGCAGCCGCGGUAAUACAUAGGGGGCAAGCGUUAUCCGGAAUUAUUGGGUGUAAAGGGUGCGUAGACGGGUGUUUAAGUUGGUUGUGAAAUCCCUCGGCUCAACUGAGGAACUGCAACCAAAACUGGAUAUCUUGAGUGUCGGAGAGGAAAGUGGAAUUCCUAGUGUAGCGGUGAAAUGCGUAGAUAUUAGGAGGAACACCAGUGGCGAAGGCGACUUUCUGGACGAUAACUGACGUUGAGGCACGAAAGUGUGGGGAGCAAACAGGAUUAGAUACCCUGGUA
This 681-nucleotide ribosomal RNA is filed under the name uncultured bacterium. RNAcentral describes it as "bacterial SSU rRNA". It matches the Rfam family "Bacterial small subunit ribosomal RNA", at positions 94 to 792 of the family's 1533-position model. The record is from RNAcentral.